GUGAUGUCAUCAACUUCAGCUACAUUAGCCUGUACAAAUUUCCUUUUCUUGUUAUUCCCUUGAGAAGUCUGUGGAAUACAAUCCUUAGCCUUAUGUCCUGGCUUAUUACACACAAAGCAAUUUCCAUUAAACUUCUUCUGUGUUGGCUUCACCAUUUUUCCACUAUGCUUCCUUUUCUUGUUAUGAAAGUGAUUCCAUCCUUCAUGUUCCACCACGUUGGCCUUAGAUUCCAUGUGGUUGAAAAUCU
RNAcentral lists this long non-coding RNA (247 nucleotides) under Actinidia chinensis (golden kiwifruit). RNAcentral's name for it is "long non-coding RNA (ACHI_LNC004319)". The record is from RNAcentral. Lineage: Eukaryota; Viridiplantae; Streptophyta; Magnoliopsida; Ericales; Actinidiaceae.